AACAAACCUAAGUUGGAAUUUAAGAAUUUCCAUAAUAUAAAGAGGAAGAGGCUUCUUUUCGAUAUAAUGGCGCCAUUAACAUCUAUUAAUAAUGCAGACAGGGUAAGUAGCUGGAGUUGGAGCUCCCUGGGGGCCUCGUAAAACAGAUGUGCACUAUAUCUUCCCGGAUUUGAUAGCGGCUGGGGUCGAGGGGGUCGCUGUGGUUCCCGUUUAUUUCCUCUGGCAGCGGUUUUCUAAUUUAAGCACCUCUGUCUCCUGGCUACAGUUGCCUGCUGUGCCGGGGAGGGGGUGUUGGCGCAUUGUCAUGCCUGCUGCCGGGAAAGGGGGCACGGCCACAGCGCCCCUGCCUCGCUCGCUGCUGCUGCCUCUCGGCUCCUCUCGCUCUCGCCAGCAUCUCCUCAGGUCCCUUUGCUGCUCAAGGUGCCGCAGCCAGGCUCUUCUGUUGAUAUUCUUUUUAUUAUUAUUAUUAUUUCUCCAAAAUGAAAUUAAGAUGAGUGGGAGUGUUGAAGUACCUCUUCUGACUCUGGAGCGGCAGCGUGCAGGUUUCCAGGCAAACCUCAUCCCCAGGGAUGGAUGAACUACGGCGUGGGAAUGUAGACAGGGACUGCAGCGUGCUACCAGGUGGUCCUGGUUGUGUGGCUGAGCAAGCAGCUGGGGCACCUAUUGAGUGAGGGAGGUGCCUCUGUCCCUGGCAUUUCCAUCCAUCUGCAUCGCUCUGUCCGUGAGCCUUUGCCACCUCUGAAGUGAAGCAGCAGAAGCCAAUCCUCCAUGAGGCCCACAGCAGAGGGGCUGGAAGGGCGCAGGGUGUGCUGAGAGAGCUGUUCAUGUUGAGUCACUGCUGAAAGUCCACUGUGGCUGGUAAAGUGACGCAUCAUUUUCUGCUUGAACACUGGAGAGGUUUUUCUCAACGCUCCUUGCUCUGUUGGUGCUGAGCUUUGAACUGGUUUAAAUUCAUAAAACAUCAAGGAAUAUGCAGAUUUUUGUAUCAAAAGUCGGAUCCAAGAGGCUAUUAAAUACUAUAAGUACUCUAUAAUUGGCUCGAUUAGUCUAAUAUUAACUCUAAGUGACACUUAAGUGACAUCAACUGUGACAACAGAAGUGACAUUUUUGAAUUGCCUUAUUUUUAGGGAGAAUGUUGAUCAUGGCUUUUUCAAUUGUCACUGUGGCAUAAUGCUCAUAGACCAACAUAUUUCUGGCAAGCGUGAC
Molecule: long non-coding RNA, 1206 nt
Filed under: Zonotrichia albicollis (white-throated sparrow)
Lineage: Eukaryota; Metazoa; Chordata; Aves; Passeriformes; Passerellidae
Description: lncRNA (ENSZALG00000002524.1)
Source: RNAcentral